Molecule: transfer RNA, 72 nt
Filed under: Loxodonta africana (African savanna elephant)
Lineage: Eukaryota; Metazoa; Chordata; Mammalia; Proboscidea; Elephantidae
Rfam family: tRNA
About the family: Transfer RNA (tRNA) molecules are approximately 80 nucleotides in length. Their secondary structure includes four short double-helical elements and three loops (D, anti-codon, and T loops). Further hydrogen bonds mediate the characteristic L-shaped molecular structure. tRNAs have two regions of fundamental functional importance: the anti-codon, which is responsible for specific mRNA codon recognition, and the 3' end, to which the tRNAs corresponding amino acid is attached (by aminoacyl-tRNA synthetases). tRNAs cope with the degeneracy of the genetic code in two manners: having more than one tRNA (with a specific anti-codon) for a particular amino acid; and 'wobble' base-pairing, i.e. permitting non-standard base-pairing at the 3rd anti-codon position.
Source: Rfam by way of RNAcentral
CUCUGGGUGGUACAAAAGGUUAAUGUGUUUGACUGCUAACCAAAAGGUUGGAGGUUCGAGCCUACCCAGAGG